GUGCUUGGCUCAGCAGCAGAGCUACUCAAAUUGGAAUGAUACAGAGAAGAUUAGCGUGGUCCCUGCACAGGGAUGACGCACAAAUUUGUGAAGUGUUCCAUAAAAAA
Molecule: small nuclear RNA, 107 nt
Organism: Chlorocebus sabaeus (green monkey)
Lineage: Eukaryota; Metazoa; Chordata; Mammalia; Primates; Cercopithecidae
Source: Ensembl